This 734-nucleotide ribosomal RNA is filed under the name uncultured bacterium. Its description in RNAcentral is "bacterial SSU rRNA". It matches the Rfam family "Bacterial small subunit ribosomal RNA", at positions 68 to 794 of the family's 1533-position model. The record is from RNAcentral.
GAGAAGACGUAGCAAUACGUUUGUAUAGCGGCGAACGGGUGAGGAAUACAUGGGUAACCUACCCUUGAGUGGGGAAUAACUAGCCGAAAGGUUAGCUAAUACCGCGUACGCUCCUUGGACUUCGGUUCAGGGAGGAAAGCGAUACCGAGGGUAUCGCGCUCUAGGAUGGGCUCAUGUCCUAUCAGCUUGUUGGUGAGGUAACGGCUCACCAAGGCUUCGACGGGUAGCUGGUCUGAGAGGACGAUCAGCCACACUGGCACUGCGACACGGGCCAGACUCCUACGGGAGGCAGCAGUAAGGAAUAUUGCGCAAUGGGCGAAAGCCUGACGCAGCGACGCCGCGUGGGGGAUGAAGGUCUUCGGAUUGUAAACCCCUUUCGGGAGGGAAGAUGGAAUGGGGUAACCCAUUCGGACGGUACCUCCAGAAGCAGCCACGGCUAACUUCGUGCCAGCAGCCGCGGUAAUACGAAGGUGGCAAGCGUUAUUCGGAUUUACUGGGCGUACAGGGAGCGUAGGCGGUUCGGUAAGCCCUUUGUGAAAUCUCCAGGCUUAACCUGGAACAGUCGGAGGGGACUGCCGGGCUAGAGGACGGGAGAGGAGCGCGGAAUUCCCGGUGUAGCGGUGAAAUGCGUAGAGAUCGGGAGGAAGGCCGGUGGCGAAGGCGGCGCUCUGGAACGUUUCUGACGCUGAGGCUCGAAAGCGUGGGGAGCAAACAGGAUUAGAUACCCUGGUAGU